GAUGAAGAACGUAGCGAAAUGCGAUAAGUAGUGUGAAUUGCAGAAUUCAGUGAAUCAUCGAAUCUUUGAACGCACAUUGCGCCCCUUGGUAUUCCAUGGGGCAUGCCUGUUCGAGCGUCAUUUGUACCUUCAAGCUUUGCUUGGUGUUGGGUGUUUGUCCUGAGGGACUCGCCUUAAAGUAAUUGGCAGCCAGUGUUUUGGUUUUGAAGCGCAGCACAAGUCGCGAUUCAAUGCUAUACGCCAGCUUCCACAAGCCUUUUUCACUUUUGACCUCGGAUCAGGUAGGGAUACCCGCUGAACUUAAGCAUAUCAAUAAGCGGAGGA
Molecule: unclassified non-coding RNA, 324 nt
Filed under: soil metagenome
Description: partial contains 5.8S ribosomal RNA, internal transcribed spacer 2, and large subunit ribosomal RNA
Rfam family: 5.8S ribosomal RNA (bases 1-120)
Source: RNAcentral